Molecule: ribosomal RNA, 429 nt
Filed under: uncultured soil bacterium
Lineage: Bacteria
Description: bacterial SSU rRNA
Rfam family: Bacterial small subunit ribosomal RNA
Source: RNAcentral
AGACUGAACGCUGGCGGCAUGCUUUACACAUGCAAGUCGAACGGUAACGCGGGGGCAACCCUGGCGACGAGUGGCGAACGGGUGAGUAAUACAUCGGAGCAUGUCCUGGAGUGGGGGAUAGCUCGGCGAAAGCCGGAUUAAUACCGCAUACGCUCUGAGGAGGAAAGCGGGGGAUCCGCAAGGACCUCGCGCUGCAGGAGUGGCCGAUGUCGGAUUAGCUAGUUGGUGAGGUAAAGCUCACCAAGGCGACGAUCCGUAGCUGGUCUGAGAGGAUGAUCAGCCACACUGGACUGAGACACGCCCAGACUCUACGGAGCAGCAGUGGAUUUGGACAGUGGGCACCUGAUCAGCCAUCGCCGCGUGAGUGAAGACGGUCCGUUACGGUUGUAACGCUCGUUCGGACGGUACGAAGUGGUAACGGUGACGUAC